GCUCGGGCUGGGCCGCUCGGGCUGGGCCGCUCGGGCUGGGCCGCUCGGGCUGGGCCGCUCGGGCUGGGCCGCUCGGGCUGGGCCGCUCGGGCU
RNAcentral lists this transfer RNA (93 nucleotides) under Streptomyces fumigatiscleroticus. RNAcentral describes it as "tRNA-Pro". Lineage: Bacteria; Bacillati; Actinomycetota; Actinomycetes; Kitasatosporales; Streptomycetaceae. The record is from RNAcentral.